UACGGAGGAAGCAAGCGUUUAUCCGGAAUUACUGGGCGUAAAGAGUUGCGUAGGUGGCAAAGUGUGUCAGUAGUGAAAGAGUGUGGCUCAACCAUAUAAACAUUACUGAAACUGCUUAGCUAGAGGACGAGAGAGGUUAUUGGAAUUCCCAGUGUAGGAGUGAAAUCCGUAGAUAUUGGGAGGAACACCGAUGGCGUAGGCAGAUAACUGGCUCGUUCCUGACACUAAGGCACGAAAGCGUGGGGAGCAAACGGG
Molecule: ribosomal RNA, 255 nt
Filed under: uncultured bacterium
Lineage: Bacteria
Description: partial 16S ribosomal RNA
Rfam family: Bacterial small subunit ribosomal RNA
Source: RNAcentral